Haplochromis burtoni (Burton's mouthbrooder) is the source of this 699-nucleotide long non-coding RNA. RefSeq annotates it as tyrosyl-DNA phosphodiesterase 2. The record is from RefSeq and is a predicted model, not a curated record. Lineage: Eukaryota; Metazoa; Chordata; Actinopteri; Cichliformes; Cichlidae.
AGGGACUGGAGCCUGUCCCGGCUGUUAUAGGGCAAGAGGCAGGGUACACCUUAGACGUGGUAAAAAGUGAUUUUGCCACAUGUGUUUUUGUUUUAUGUGACAUUAAAAGAAAUAAAAUUUGGCAUAUUUUAAGGACCGAAAGCCCCCACCCCGGGUUAAUAUUUCUAUUUGUUGUAAUAAAGUUUGUAAUUAAUAAAUGUAGUCAUUUCAAACCAAAAUCCGUUUGGAAAAAGUCAGCUUUGUUUGCUUUUCUCUGUUAAUUAUUCUUUAUCUGUAUGUACACUGAUUAAAGUUUGGGUAAAAACAUUGUACAACCUUUAUAGAAUGGGUGGAGCCAGAACUUCGACCCUAAUUUGAUUAUCACGAGUUUAAGUGGGCGUGUUUCCUAAAUCAGCAGUAGUCGUUAAUCAGCUGACGGGUGAACAGGUUGUGUGAAGGUAAAUUUGAGAAUCUGCCGAGCUGGUCUGUGGCGUACUGGAGACAGUGGUUUAUUUUACAGAAACACAGAGAGAUCCUUGAGAUAACUUGUUGAAGCAGACAUGGAGAGCGACUCUGAAACACACAGUGAUGAUGAUACUACUCCAGAUGACUGGAUGGCUAUGGUUGUAGACAGUCCAGAUGGAAGUCCUGCUGCCAGUCCUGCUGCUACACAGAAACCCUCAGAAGAAGAGGAUUUUAAACUGUCCCUGAUCACCUGGA